RNAcentral lists this microRNA (22 nucleotides) under Ornithorhynchus anatinus (platypus). RNAcentral's name for it is "oan-miR-1419f-3p". Lineage: Eukaryota; Metazoa; Chordata; Mammalia; Monotremata; Ornithorhynchidae. The record is from miRBase by way of RNAcentral.
AUAUGAUAUCACCCAGCACCAC